GAUGAACGCUGGCGGCAUGCCUAAGACAUGCAAGUCGUACGAAGUGGCCCUUUGAAAUGGAGUGCUUGCACAAAGUAGAUAAGGAUUUCACUUAGUGGCGCAAGGGUGAGUAACACGUGGGUUAUCUGCCUUUAAGACUGGGAUAACAAUUGGAAACGAUUGCUAAUACCGGAUAUUAUAUAUAAUGAUACGUUGUUAUAUAUUAAAAGGAGCCUUUAAAGCUUCACUUAAAGAUGAGCCUGCGGCGCAUUAGCUAGUUGGUAAGGUAAUGGCUUACCAAGGCGACGAUGCGUAGCCGAACUGAGAGGUUGAUCGGCCACAUUGGGACUGAGACACGGCCCAGACUCCUACGGGAGGCAGCAGUGGGGAAUAUUGGGCAAUGGGCGCAAGCCUUACCCAGCAACGCCGCGUGAGGGAAGAAGGUUUUCGGAUUGUAAACCUCUGUCCUGGGGGGCGAAGAAAGUGACGGUACCCCGGGAGGAAGCCCCGGCUAACUACGUGCCAGCAGCCG
Molecule: ribosomal RNA, 511 nt
Filed under: uncultured bacterium
Lineage: Bacteria
Description: bacterial SSU rRNA
Rfam family: Bacterial small subunit ribosomal RNA
Source: RNAcentral